Molecule: ribosomal RNA, 612 nt
Filed under: Thelonectria coronata
Lineage: Eukaryota; Fungi; Ascomycota; Sordariomycetes; Hypocreales; Nectriaceae
Description: eukaryotic LSU rRNA
Rfam family: Eukaryotic large subunit ribosomal RNA
Source: RNAcentral
GAGUGAAGCGGCAACAGCUCAAAUUUGAAAUCUGGCCCCCGGGUCCGAGUUGUAAUUUGUAGAGGAUGCUUUUGGCAAGGUGCCUUCCGAGUUCCCUGGAACGGGACGCCAUAGAGGGUGAGAGCCCCGUCUGGUCGGACACCGCGCCUCUGUAAAGCUCCUUCGACGAGUCGAGUAGUUUGGGAAUGCUGCUCUAAAUGGGAGGUAUAUGUCUUCUAAAGCUAAAUACCGGCCAGAGACCGAUAGCGCACAAGUAGAGUGAUCGAAAGAUGAAAAGCACUUUGAAAAGAGAGUUAAAAAGUACGUGAAAUUGUUGAAAGGGAAGCGAUUAUGACCAGACUUGGGCCUGUUUGAUCAGCUUGGGUUCUCCCGGGUGCACUCUCUCAGGCCUAGGCCAGCAUCAGUUCGUAGCGGGGGAAAAAUGUCGCGGGAAUGUAGCUCCCCUCGGGGAGUGUUAUAGAUCGCUUCGUAAUACCCUGCGUCGGACUGAGGUUCGCGCACUUGUGCAAGGAUGCUGGCGUAAUGGUCAUCAUCGACCCGUCUUGAAACACGGACCAAGGAGUCGUCUUCGUAUGCGAGUGUUCGGGUGUUAAACCCCUACGCGAAAUGAAA